UAGCAGUCUCUGGAUAUGUGGCCAGA
This 26-nucleotide non-coding RNA is filed under the name Mus musculus (house mouse). Lineage: Eukaryota; Metazoa; Chordata; Mammalia; Rodentia; Muridae. The record is from RNAcentral.